GACGAACGCUGGCGGCGUGCCUAAUACAUGCAAGUAGAACGCUGAAGGAGGAGCUUGCUUCUCUGGAUGAGUUGCGAACGGGUGAGUAACGCGUAGGUAACCUGCCUGGUAGCGGGGGAUAACUAUUGGAAACGAUAGCUAAUACCGCAUAAUAGUAGAUGUUGCAUGACAUUUGCUUAAAAGGUGCAAUUGCAUCACUACCAGAUGGACCUGCGUUGUAUUAGCUAGUUGGUGAGGUAACGGCUCACCAAGGCGACGAUACAUAGCCGACCUGAGAGGGUGAUCGGCCACACUGGGACUGAGACACGGCCCAGACUCCUACGGGAGGCAGCAGUAGGGAAUCUUCGGCAAUGGACGGAAGUCUGACCGAGCAACGCCGCGUGAGUGAAGAAGGUGUUCGGAUCGUAAAGCUCUGUUGUAAGAGAAGAACGAGUGUGAGAGUGGAAAGUUCACACUGUGACGGUAUCUUACCAGAAAGGGACGGCUAACUACGU
This 494-nucleotide ribosomal RNA is filed under the name uncultured bacterium. RNAcentral's name for it is "partial 16S ribosomal RNA". It matches the Rfam family "Bacterial small subunit ribosomal RNA", at positions 28 to 506 of the family's 1533-position model. The record is from RNAcentral.